Molecule: ribosomal RNA, 460 nt
Filed under: uncultured bacterium
Lineage: Bacteria
Description: partial 16S ribosomal RNA
Rfam family: Bacterial small subunit ribosomal RNA
Source: RNAcentral
CCUACGGGUGGCAGCAGUGAGGAAUAUUGGUCAAUGGACGAGAGUCUGAACCAGCCAAGUAGCGUGAAGGAUGACUGCCCAAUGUGUUGUAAACUUCUUUUAUAUGGGAAUAAAAUGUUCCACGUGUGGGAUGUUGUAUGUACCAGAUGAAUAAGGAUCGGCUAACUCCGUGCCAGCAGCCGCGGUAAUACGGAGGAUCCGAGCGUUAUCCGGAUUUAUUGGGUUUAAAGGGAGCGUAGGCGGCUUGUUAAGCCCGUCGUGAAAGUUUGCGGCUCAACCGUAAAAUUGCAGUUGAAACUGGCAGUCUUGAGUACACUUGAGGUAGGCGGAAUUCGUGGUGUAGCGGUGAAAUGCUUAGAUAUCACGAAGAACUCCGAUUGCGAAGGCAGCUUACGAAACUGCCACUGACAUUGAUGCUCGAAAGUGUGGGUAUCAAACAGGAUUAGAUACCCCUGUAGUC